AUGGACAUGAGGAACCCUGCUCAACUCCUGGGGCUCCUGAUGCUCUGGCUCCCAGGUGCCAAAUGUGAUGUUCAGUUGACCCAGUUGCCAUCCAUGUCCGCAUCUCUUGGAGAGAGAGUCUCCAUCACUUGCAGGGCCAGUCAGGGCACUAGCAAUGAUUUACAUUGGUGCCAGCAGAAACCAGGGAAUGCUCCUAAGCUCCUGAUUUAUUUUGCAACUCGUUUGCAAUCUGGGUUCCCAUCAAGGUUCAGUGGGAGUCAAUCUGGGGAAGAGUUCACUCUCACCAUCAACAGCCUGCAGCCUGAAGAUGUUGCCACUUACUACUGUGAACAGAGUAAUAGUUACCCUCCCACAGUGAUACAAGUCAUAACAAAAACCUCCCAGGAAAGCAGAAGUGAGAGGUUGGGCAGCCCCAGCUGCUCCUCCUGGGCCUCCACCUGCUGA
Dipodomys spectabilis (banner-tailed kangaroo rat) is the source of this 444-nucleotide non-coding RNA. The record is from the annotation of a RefSeq genome assembly. NCBI's taxonomy places the organism in Eukaryota, Metazoa, Chordata, Mammalia, Rodentia, Heteromyidae.